Molecule: ribosomal RNA, 497 nt
Filed under: uncultured bacterium
Lineage: Bacteria
Description: partial 16S ribosomal RNA
Rfam family: Bacterial small subunit ribosomal RNA
Source: RNAcentral
GAUGAACGCUGGCGGCGUGCCUAAUACAUGCAAGUCGAGCGAACAGACGAGGAGCUUGCUUCUCUGACGUUAGCGGCGGACGGGUGAGUAACACGUGGAUAACCUACCUAUAAGACUGGGAUAACUUCGGGAAACCGGAGCUAAUACCGGAUAAUAUAUUGAACCGCAUGGUUCAAUAGUGAAAGACGGUUUUGCCGUCACUUAUAGAUGGAUCCGCGCCGCAUUAGCUAGUUGGUAAGGUAACGGCUUACCAAGGCAACGAUGCGUAGCCGACCUGAGAGGGUGAUCGGCCACACUGGAACUGAGACACGGUCCAGACUCCUACGGGAGGCAGCAGUAGGGAAUCUUCCGCAAUGGGCGAAAGCCUGACGGAGCAACGCCGCGUGAGUGAUGAAGGUCUUCGGAUCGUAAAACUCUGUUAUUAGGGAAGAACAAAUGUGUAAGUAACUAUGCACGUCUUGACGGUACCUAAUCAGAAAGCCACGGCUAACUACGUG